RNAcentral lists this ribosomal RNA (485 nucleotides) under uncultured bacterium. Its description in RNAcentral is "bacterial SSU rRNA". It matches the Rfam family "Bacterial small subunit ribosomal RNA", at positions 43 to 523 of the family's 1533-position model. The record is from RNAcentral.
CAGGCCUAACACAUGCAAGUCGAACGGCAGCGCGGGAGCAAUCCUGGCGGCGAGUGGCGAACGGGUGAGUAAUAUAUCGGAACGUGCCCAUUAGUGGGGGAUAGCCCGGCGAAAGCCGGAUUAAUACCGCAUACGACCUGAGGGUGAAAGCGGGGGAUCGCAAGACCUCGCGCUAUUGGAGCGGCCGAUAUCAGAUUAGCUAGUUGGUGGGGUAAAGGCCUACCAAGGCAACGAUCUGUAGUUGGUCUGAGAGGACGACCAGCCACACUGGGACUGAGACACGGCCCAGACUCCUACGGGAGGCAGCAGUGGGGAAUUUUGGACAAUGGGCGCAAGCCUGAUCCAGCAAUGCCGCGUGCAGGAAGAAGGCCUUCGGGUUGUAAACUGCUUUUGUCAGGGAAGAAAUCCUUUGGGUUAAUACCUCGGAGGGAUGACGGUACCUGAAGAAUAAGCACCGGCUAACUACGUGCCAGCAGCCGCGGUAA